RNAcentral lists this long non-coding RNA (1287 nucleotides) under Coturnix japonica (Japanese quail). RNAcentral describes it as "lncRNA (ENSCJPG00005007629.1)". The record is from RNAcentral. Lineage: Eukaryota; Metazoa; Chordata; Aves; Galliformes; Phasianidae.
AGCUGGAACUGAUGCUGCCCCCUGCCCUUCCCAGCCCUUAAAUACCAAUCAAGGAGGGGAGGAGCCAGGCUCCAACCAAUCACAAUCCACCCCUCAACGGCCCCCACCUGUGCCCAUGGGGUGGGCCCCUCUCCUCAGCAGGUGCCCAAUCAGGAUGUUACAUAACAGCUCCAAUCGAGAACAAAGACAAAAACAAAGCAGUAACAGAGCUGCUGGAUGGAGCUCCAGGACUUGGCUUCUCUGCCAUCACAUUGCUCAGCCUGGAACAGCACUACAGGAGGUGAGUUCUGGUUCUGAUAAUGGAAUAAUGCUGAGCGGUUGGAGGGCAGAAAUGAUUGAGGGGGGGAUUUUGAGGUGUCUGGGGGGGACAUGGAGCUGAUGUUUGCCAAUGAAGCUGUAUGUAGAUGUGGAGGUAUCAAUGGAGUUACACAAGGAACCAUGUUGGAACGUGAUGAUGAGUAGAUGAGGGACUGAAUAGUGAAAAAGGAGCCAUAGUAGAUGAAAAGAGAACACUUAGCUACAGAAAGGGAAAGGGGGCCUCACUAAGGCAAAGGGUAAAAAAAUUAAGAAAAGACGGGUAAGAGCAGAAGAAAACCAAAAAAAGCAGGGUUAGAAUAUAAGAAAACAAAAAAAAAAGCAGGGUUAGAGCGGAAGAAAACCAAGAAAAGACAAAUUAGAGCAGCAGGAAAACCUAGAAAAGCAAGGUUAGAUGGGAAGAAAACCAAGAAAUGACAAUUUAGAGUGGAAGAAAACAAAGAAAAGACGGGUUAGAAAGAAAGAAAACCAAGAAAAGAUGGGUAUAGCAGAAGAAAACCAAGAAAAGCAGGGUUAGAGUGUAAGAAAACCAAGAAAAGACAGGUUAGAGCGGAAGGAAUCCAAGAAAAGCAGUGUUAGAGCGGAUGAAAACCAAGAAAAGCAGGGUUAAAGCAAAGGAAAACCAAGAAAAACGAGUUGGAUCUGAAGAAAAGCAAGAAAAGCAGGGUUAGAGAGGAGGAAAACCAAUUGCCGGGGGCACAUGUAGUUCAAUUUGACCAGCCACCGGGGGCACAUGUAGUCCAAUUGGACCAACCAUCGGGGACACCAGAUACAAUGUUGGUUGCCCCUGUAAGAGGGCGAAAGACAAAACAAGUUUCAACUCAGUUAGAGAAAAUGCUCUGGUGGAAAUGCUAUACAGCCGCGAGUUCAAUCGUAAUGAUCCAGACCAAUUACAUGAUCCUGAAGCAGUCCGCGUUCCACGAACGAAAAUGUUGGCGACUUUUACAGAAAAGCAGCUCCCAGAAAGCAUGG